CGAACGCUGGCGGCGUGCCUAAUACAUGCAAGUCGAGCGGACAGAAGGGAGCUUGCUCCCGGAUGUUAGCGGCGGACGGGUGAGUAACACGUGGGUAACCUGCCUGUAAGACUGGGAUAACUCCGGGAAACCGGAGCUAAUACCGGAUAGUUCCUUGAACCGCAUGGUUCAAGGAUGAAAGACGGUUUCGGCUGUCACUUACAGAUGGACCCGCGGCGCAUUAGCUAGUUGGUGAGGUAACGGCUCACCAAGGCGACGAUGCGUAGCCGACCUGAGAGGGUGAUCGGCCACACUGGGACUGAGACACGGCCCAGACUCCUACGGGAGGCAGCAGUAGGGAAUCUUCCGCAAUGGACGAAAGUCUGACGGAGCAACGCCGCGUGAGUGAUGAAGGUUUUCGGAUCGUAAAGCUCUGUUGUUAGGGAAGAACAAGUGCAAGAGUAACUGCUUGCACCUUGACGGUACCUAACCAGAAAGCCACGGCUAACUAC
Molecule: ribosomal RNA, 491 nt
Filed under: Bacillus sp. (in: firmicutes)
Lineage: Bacteria; Bacillati; Bacillota; Bacilli; Caryophanales; Bacillaceae
Description: bacterial SSU rRNA
Rfam family: Bacterial small subunit ribosomal RNA
Source: RNAcentral